AGAGUUUGAUCAUGGCUCAGAUCCGAACGCUGGCGGCAUGCCUUACACAUGCAAGUCGAACGGCAGCAUAGGAGCUUGCUCCUGAUGGCGAGUGGCGAACGGGUGAGUAAUAUAUCGGAACGUGCCCUAGAGUGGGGGAUAACUAGUCGAAAGACUAGCUAAUACCGCAUACGAUCUACGGAUGAAAGUGGGGGAUCGCAAGACCUCAUGCUCCUGGAGCGGCCGAUAUCUGAUUAGCUAGUUGGUGGGGUAAAAGCCUACCAAGGCAACGAUCAGUAGCUGGUCUGAGAGGACGACCAGCCACACUGGGACUGAGACACGGCCCAGACUCCUACGGGAGGCAGCAGUGGGGAAUUUUGGACAAUGGGGGCAACCCUGAUCCAGCAAUGCCGCGUGAGUGAAGAAGGCCUUCGGGUUGUAAAGCUCUUUUGUCAGGGAAGAAACGGUGGUAGCGAAUAACUACUACUAAUGACGGUACCUGAAGAAUAAGCACCGGCUAACUACGUGCCAGCAGCCGCGGUAAU
Molecule: ribosomal RNA, 524 nt
Filed under: uncultured bacterium
Lineage: Bacteria
Description: bacterial SSU rRNA
Rfam family: Bacterial small subunit ribosomal RNA
Source: RNAcentral